RNAcentral lists this transfer RNA (73 nucleotides) under Felis catus (domestic cat). It matches the Rfam family "tRNA". Rfam says of the family: Transfer RNA (tRNA) molecules are approximately 80 nucleotides in length. Their secondary structure includes four short double-helical elements and three loops (D, anti-codon, and T loops). Lineage: Eukaryota; Metazoa; Chordata; Mammalia; Carnivora; Felidae. RNAcentral also lists the same sequence under 3 other names. The record is from Rfam by way of RNAcentral.
GCCUGGCUAGCUCAGUUGGAAGAGCAUGUGACUCUUGAUCUCAGGGUCAUGAGUUCCAGCCCUAUGUUAGGUG